RNAcentral lists this transfer RNA (84 nucleotides) under Rhizobacter gummiphilus. RNAcentral describes it as "tRNA-Leu". It matches the Rfam family "tRNA". Rfam says of the family: Transfer RNA (tRNA) molecules are approximately 80 nucleotides in length. Their secondary structure includes four short double-helical elements and three loops (D, anti-codon, and T loops). Further hydrogen bonds mediate the characteristic L-shaped molecular structure. tRNAs have two regions of fundamental functional importance: the anti-codon, which is responsible for specific mRNA codon recognition, and the 3' end, to which the tRNAs corresponding amino acid is attached (by aminoacyl-tRNA synthetases). tRNAs cope with the degeneracy of the genetic code in two manners: having more than one tRNA (with a specific anti-codon) for a particular amino acid; and 'wobble' base-pairing, i.e. permitting non-standard base-pairing at the 3rd anti-codon position. Lineage: Bacteria; Pseudomonadati; Pseudomonadota; Betaproteobacteria; Burkholderiales; Sphaerotilaceae. The record is from RNAcentral.
GCCCCGGUGGUGAAAUGGUAGACGCGCCGGACUCAAAAUCCGGUUCCGCAAGGAGUGUCGGUUCGAGUCCGACCCGGGGCACCA